CCCUUAGAUGUUCUGGGCCGCACGCGUGCUACACUGGGUGGAUCAGCGGGUCAGGUUGCGCGAAAGUGUUUCCUAAUCUUGAAAUCCGCUCGUGAUGGGGAUUGACGGUUGCAAUUUUCCGUCAUGAACGAGGAAUACCUUGUAAGCGCGGGUCAUCAUCCCGCGCUGAAUACGUCCCUGCCCUUUGUACACACCGCCCGUCGCUCCUACCGAUUGAGUGGUCCGGUGAGGCUUUGGGAUCUGAGCGGAAAGAGCGUUUCGCUGUUUCUGCCCGGAAAACUCAGUCGAACCUUAUCAUUUAGAGGAAGGAGAAGUCGUAACA
This 322-nucleotide ribosomal RNA is filed under the name uncultured eukaryote. RNAcentral describes it as "partial 18S ribosomal RNA". It matches the Rfam family "Eukaryotic small subunit ribosomal RNA", at positions 1470 to 1796 of the family's 1831-position model. The record is from RNAcentral.